This 2874-nucleotide long non-coding RNA is filed under the name Nicotiana tabacum (common tobacco). Its description in RNAcentral is "long non-coding RNA (NTAB_LNC006867)". The record is from RNAcentral. Lineage: Eukaryota; Viridiplantae; Streptophyta; Magnoliopsida; Solanales; Solanaceae.
CGAAUUGGCCUCCAAUUGCUCCAAAUCUAACCAAAAUCAGAUUCAUACCAUCAAAAUAUGCUAAAGGAACAAAGCCCACUCGAAAAUAACCAAGUUACAUAAAAAAUGCCAAAAUUGGCCAAACCCGACCCCCUGGCCCUCGUCUCGAAUUCCGACAAAAAUCACAAAACUAUAAUCCUUACAUCAAAAUCUGACCACAAACGACCUCUCAAAUCCCUAAAUCAAAGUUUCCAAUUUCAAGCCCUAAUUCCCCAAUUUUAGGCUAUAAAUCCCAUAAAUUUUAUGUCUAAUUAGGUAGAAAUCACCAUAGAAUCAAGUAUUGAGUUCAAAAAUCUUACCUCCAAGUGUUUCCCUUCGAUUCCCUCUUUAAUCCCUCUCAAAAAGCUUCAAAAUCGCUCAACAAUGGUGGAAAAUAGACCAAAAAUCGUGAAGGCAACUAUUUAAACAUUCUGCCCAGAUGACAUUUCCUUCUUCGCGAACGCGGUCAAAGCCUCGCGUUCGCGAAGCACAAAAAUCCACUGACCAAUUAUUCCUCCUUCGCGAACGCGACAUACUCCACGCGAACGUGAUGCUUUAACCGUCCAAGCCUUCGCAAACGCGACUAUACCUAUACGAACGCUUCCUUCACAUAUAUACUUACCCAUUCACCCUGGGCCCUGAUAAUCUGUCAAAUCUUCUCCCUUGGAAAUCGACCCGGUUAUUCUUGACUUCUGCGCCCGAUAUUAGGUGACCCUCAGUCACAUCUACCCAUCCUUUUGGAGGAUAGUGUUAAUGCUUAGGCAUUUCACCGAAGGGGUUAAAGGUAAAGUUUUCACCCUUGACCAUUUGAUCAGACCGUACCGCCCUCGGCUGUAUCGAGGCUUAAUCAAGCUCCGCCACCGAUCCAAAAAGUCUUUUUUCACGAGCGUUCCUGGGGUCCCAACUGCUCCAAUUACUUUACGCAAACGCAGGACCUACUUCGCGUUCGCGAUACACACUCAGCCUCACCCUUCGCGAACGCGGAACCAACAUCGCGAAUGCGAAGGGCAAUUCUCUUGCCUCACUUCACAUCCCUUCACAAACGCGAGAUCCCUCUCGCGAACGCGAAGAACAAAACUCUGCAACAGAAACAGCAGAAAAUCUACAACUUCCCAAAACAAGAAUUUGAUCCAUUAACCACCCGAAACUCACCCGAGGCUCUCGGGACCUCAACCAAACAUGCCAAUACAUCCCAUAACAACAUUCAAACUUAGUCGAUCCCUCUAAUCACUCAAAACAACACUAAAAUAUCAAAUCACCCUUGGAUUCAAACCUAAGAAUUCCAAAACUUCAAAAUUCCGCUUUCGAUCAAAAAGUCUAUCAAACCUUGUCCGAAUGACCUGAAAUUUUGCACGCACAUCCCAAAUGACACAACAGACCUACUCUAAUUUCUGGAAUUCCAUUCCGAACCCUAUAUCAAAAUUUCCACUACCAACCGGAAAACGCCAAAAUUUCAAUUUCGUCAAUUCAAGCCUAAAUCUACUCCGGACCUCCAAAAUACAUUUCGAUCACGCUCCUAAGUCCCAAAUCACCUAACAAAGCUACCCGAACCAUCGGAAUUCACAACCAAGACCUUUUUCACAUAAGUCAACAUCCGGUUAACUUUUCCAACUUAAGCUUACUUAAAAGAGACUAAGUGUCUCAUUCCUUUCCAAAACUACUCUGAACCCAAACCAACCAACCCAAUAACACAUAAUAUAGUUGAAUAAGACAUAACGAAGUAGAAAUGGGGAAAACGGAGCGGUAAUUUAUGAAAUGACCGGCCGGGUCGUUACAGAAACUGGGAGCUAUUUACCAAAAGACGUGAAAUAAAGGAACGUACAAAAAUAGAUAACUUUCUAGACUUUAUAAAAUAGUUGAAGCGCAUUAAUCUACCAGGCUUCUUCUCUAUGACUCAACAAUAACACAUUGCUCCAGUUGAGCCCCUGCCACAAAUGCUUUCUUCAAAACAACCCUAAAGAUUUUAAAACAACAAACCAAGCUAGCUCUUAUUAGUUUCAACAACCAACCUCAAAUAUAUGGAGAAUCAUUGACCGUUACAAGACUACUUGUCUCAGAAUGGCAAAGCACAAUAUAGUUUUAAAUGGUAUAUAAACACAGAUAUUAAAAAGGAAAUAAAAAGUAUUAUUUUCUUUCAAGGUGUUCAUUAGUAAUGAGAAGAUAUUAUCACACUACUAUUCGACAAUCUAUUUAUAUUUAAAGAAAUUGUCAGCACAGAAAAUAAUAGGUGAAAGUCACAAAGGAUUUCAAUCAGAUUGAUUUUUCCCCCUACAAUUAGAGUUGAGCACAAGUAAUGUUCCUAAAAAUAACUGAAUGCUGGAGAAGAAUUGAUGAAGACAGCAGCUGACCUGAUAACACAAGGAAAUUUGGAUAAUUUUUGAGUUAGGGUGUUGAUGGAUAGAAUUGGAAAAUUUAUGGGGGUUCUUUCUGGAUAAAUUAUGAAUUGAAGCUGCAAGAUUCCACACCAAUACAAGAAGAAAGAAAUUAUGAUCUACAAAUAGAAUACAACAUGCAAUAACAAGUUUCUGGAAUCAUAAUAUAAAAUUCUUAAAUUAAAAUAAGAGAAAACAAGAAAUAUUAACUAAAGGGUGAAGAGAGAUGUUACAAUGGAAGAGGGUCGGGCGGAAUUUCUAAGAGAGGAGACGUCAAGCAGAUCUCUGUCAACAGAAACUCCUCCAUUUGCAAAGACAUAAAAACGUCACCACAGAUCUGCAAUGCGCAUAGAAAGUAAUCAGGGCAAUCAAGAACUGAAGAAGAAACAAUAAUGGAUGAAGGAAGACAACAAGAACAAAGAACUGGGCGAGAUGAAGCAAGAGAAUUGAGUCGGGGAGAGCGAAAAAAAAGAUGGAAUUGUGU